CCCGCUGAACUUAAGCAUAUCAAUAAGCGGAGGAAAAGAAACUAACAAGGAUUCCCCUAGUAACUGCGAGUGAAGCGGGAAAAGCUCAAAUUUGAAAUCUGGCGGCUCUGCCGUCCGAGUUGUAUUCUGGAGAAGUGCCUUCCGCGCCGGACCGUGUACAAGUCCCUUGGAACAGGGCGUCAUAGAGGGUGAGAAUCCCGUAUGUGAUCGGUGCCGUUGCCCGUGUAAAGCGCUUUCGACGAGUCGAGUUGUUUGGGAAUGCAGCUCAAAAUGGGUGGUAAAUUUCAUCUAAAGCUAAAUAUUGGCCAGAGACCGAUAGCGCACAAGUAGAGUGAUCGAAAGAUGAAAAGCACUUUGGAAAGAGAGUUAAACAGUACGUGAAAUUGUUGAAAGGGAAACGCUUGAAGUCAGUCACGUUGGCCAGAAAUCAACUUGUAACAGGGCGUAAUUUCUGGUUUUACGGGUCAACAUCAAUUUUGAUUGUUGGAUAAAAGUCAAUAUUUAUGCGUUUUCGGACGUGUAGCCUUUGAUUGCAUACAAUGGUUGGGAUUGAGGAACUCAGCACGCCGCAAGGCCGGGUAACUUGUUACCACGUAACGUGCUUAGGAUGUUGGCAUAAUGGCUUUAAUCGACCCGUCUUGAAACACGG
This 649-nucleotide ribosomal RNA is filed under the name uncultured fungus. RNAcentral describes it as "eukaryotic LSU rRNA". It matches the Rfam family "Eukaryotic large subunit ribosomal RNA", at positions 24 to 664 of the family's 3401-position model. Lineage: Eukaryota; Fungi. The record is from RNAcentral.